AACGAACGCUGGCGGCAUGCCUAACACAUGCAAGUCGAACGAGACCUUCGGGUCUAGUGGCGCACGGGUGCGUAACGCGUGGGAACCUGCCCUUAGGUUCGGAAUAACUCCCCGAAAGGGGUGCUAAUACCGGAUAAUGUCUUCGGACCAAAGAUUUAUCGCCUUUGGAUGGGCCCGCGUUGGAUUAGCUAGUUGGUAGGGUAAAAGCCUACCAAGGCGACGAUCCAUAGCUGGUCUGAGAGGAUGGUCAGCCACACUGGGACUGAGACACGGCCCAGACUACUACGGGAGGCAGCAGUGGGGAAUAUUGGACAAUGGGCGAAAGCCUGAUCCAGCAAUGCCGCGUGAGUGAUGAAGUCCUUAGGGUUGUAAAGCUCGUUUACCCGGGAUGAUAAUGACGGUACCGGAAGAAUAAGCUCCGGCUAACUCCGUG
Molecule: ribosomal RNA, 433 nt
Filed under: uncultured bacterium
Lineage: Bacteria
Description: partial 16S ribosomal RNA
Rfam family: Bacterial small subunit ribosomal RNA
Source: RNAcentral